RNAcentral lists this ribosomal RNA (230 nucleotides) under uncultured bacterium. Its description in RNAcentral is "partial 16S ribosomal RNA". It matches the Rfam family "Bacterial small subunit ribosomal RNA", at positions 562 to 791 of the family's 1533-position model. The record is from RNAcentral.
AAAGGGUGCGUAGGCGGUUCCGUAAGUCGGAUGUGAAAUCUUGGGGCUCAACCUCAAAACUGCAUUCGAUACUGCGGGGCUAGAGGACUGGAGAGGAGAGUGGAAUUCACGGUGUAGCAGUGAAAUGCGUAGAUAUCGUGAGGAAGACCAGCGGCGAAGGCGGCUCUCUGGACAGUUCCUGACGCUGAUGCACGAAGGCCAGGGGAGCAAACGGGAUUAGAUACCCCAGU